Molecule: ribosomal RNA, 448 nt
Filed under: uncultured bacterium
Lineage: Bacteria
Description: bacterial SSU rRNA
Rfam family: Bacterial small subunit ribosomal RNA
Source: RNAcentral
AACGAACGCUGGCGGCAGGCCUAACACAUGCAAGUCGAACGCUCGUAGCAAUACGGGAGUGGCAGACGGGUGAGUAACGCGUGGGAACAUACCCUUUGGUUCGGAAUAACUUGAGGAAACUUGAGCUAAUACCGGAUACGGCAGAGAUGCGAAAGAUUUAUCGCCGAAGGAUUGGCCCGCGUUCGAUUAGCUAGUUGGUGAGGUAAUGGCUCACCAAGGCGACGAUCGAUAGCUGGUCUGAGAGGAUGACCAGCCACACUGGGACUGAGACACGGCCCAGACUCCUACGGGAGGCAGCAGUGGGGAAUAUUGGACAAUGGGCGCAAGCCUGAUCCAGCCAUGCCGCGUGAAUGAUGAAGGCCUUAGGGUUGUAAAGUUCUUUCGCCAGGGACGAUAAUGACGGUACCUGGAUAAGAAGCCCCGGCUAACUUCGUGCCAGCAGCCGCGG